This 440-nucleotide long non-coding RNA is filed under the name Vigna radiata. RNAcentral's name for it is "long non-coding RNA (VRAD_LNC016693)". The record is from RNAcentral. Lineage: Eukaryota; Viridiplantae; Streptophyta; Magnoliopsida; Fabales; Fabaceae.
GUGAAUGCUGAGAUUUUAGGUCCUUCAAUCAUGAUUCAUUCCACUUUAAUUUUUCAAGUCAUAACAUUGUUCCUUCACUGUUCAGAUUAGAUUCAUUCUGUCAUUGUUACAUCUCAUAUUUUUCAUGUUAGUUUGCAUUUGCUUCUUAAUUUUUACAUCUGCGAAUACAUGUUUUUGAUUGUUCCAGUUUUAGAAUUUAGGUACUAUUUGACUUGUAUGCUUAGUUAGAUUUUAUAUCAUUUCCUUACUUUAGUUUAGGUUUUAUCUCCUUACUUGUUCUUGCCUUAUAUACUUUUUAAACAGAUUUGAUUUCUUAUUUUUCUUUUCUUUUUAAUUUCAGUUUUAUUCAUUUUAAAUGUCCCCACCUGCAUUAGUAGAUAGUUAAUAAAAAAAAUAACAAGAUCUAACUCCACACUUUAAUCUUAAAUCUGCUGAGUCUU